Nelumbo nucifera (sacred lotus) is the source of this 1297-nucleotide non-coding RNA. The record is from RefSeq and is a predicted model, not a curated record. NCBI's taxonomy places the organism in Eukaryota, Viridiplantae, Streptophyta, Magnoliopsida, Proteales, Nelumbonaceae.
AUGCAAUUAGACACAAGUUUGAACUCAUGAAGUAGCGAGUAUUUCGAAUAGAGAAAUGAUCUGAAACAUAACUUGCCACAUGUUCCCAAUCCAAAGUAAAAAUAAUGCUGAUAUGUAGGGGCGUCAAUGGACCGGAUUUGGGUUGGACCCGUCCAAAUCGCAUUUAAAUUGGAUGGGUUGGACGGUCCAUGCUUUGGCAUCGGGUUGGACUGAUCCGUAUUAUUUUGUUCCUAAGUAAUUGGUGGACCAAAAUGGACGAAGUUGAUUAGUCCGCAUAUCACCUGGGGACCGAUUUUACUUCGACUCAAAGUCUCCAACCUAGGGUUUCUCCAAGGGAAUUCUCGCCAACGGCUCUUUUUUUCUGACGGUUCUCUCACCGGCAAGUCUGUGACUAUCUCUGUCAGUUUGCUUGAGCUGCAUGAGAGAGAAUAUAUUGUCUUCACUUCGGACUCCAACUCUCCAAGUCUCCAACCUAGGGUUUAUCCAAGGGAACUCUUUCCAACGGCUUUUUUUCCGAUGGUUCUCUCACCGGCGAGUCAGCAACUAUCUCUGUUAGUUUGCUUGAGUUGCAUGUGCAGAAAAUGUAUUGUCUUACUAGCGGCUAUCUCUGACAUUUUUCUCUCCAUCUGUUUCUCUCUAACAUUUUUAUCUCCACCAGUUUUCUCUCUCCAACGGUCAUCUCUCUUCUGUGAACUGCAAUCAAUCGUUGAAAUAGGAAAUAUAUCACCCCUCAGUUGGCUUCCUUGAUGGCAUUGCAGAACUCAGAGUGAUGAUGACGACAACUUUUUUGGGUAGUUGUUUCCUCCAAGUAAGCUGUGUUUGGAGACUUGGAGUGAUGAUGAUGAUUUGUUGCAACACAAAUCUUAGGUAAUAAAUUGGAUAAAGGGUCGGAUGAUCUUGACAGCAAAGAUUCAUGGUGAUUAUCAAUUUAAUAUCUUGAUUUUCUACUUAAAAAAUCUCCAACUCUAUGGUGUGACCGAUUUACUGUGUUUUUUUUUUGUGUGAGUCCUCACUCCUCUCCCUAUUAAAAUCAUGUUCCUGGUUUGGGGUGUUCAUCAUGAGUGUACCUGGCUAGUGGCUCCUCAAGAAGCCGGAAAUAGAAAGCAGAAUCUGUUUGGAUUCAAUUGAUAAGUAAUAACCUGGCAUAAGAACAGUAUGCAGUAGCUCUUGUGUAUUCUUUGGUUAAGAACUUAUCAAGAUGGUUGGAAUUUGGUUCAUCUUUUGUUUGUUUUUUAUUAAAUUCUAAAAGAUUAUAUUGACAAACUCUUAAUAUGGAAUGAAGUGUUGCAUUUCAAUC